GAUGAACGCUGGCGGCGUGCUUAAUACAUGCAAGUUCGAACGCGAGAAGAGGGAGCUUGCUCCCUCGGAUCGAGUGGCGGACGGGUGAGUAACACGUAGGCAACCUGCCCAUCAGCCGGGGAUAACUACGGGAAACCGUAGCUAAUACCGGAUAAACCUGACUGUCGAUGACGGUCAGUUGAAAGACGGCCUUUGGCUGUCGCUGAUGGAUGGGCCUGCGGCGCAUUAGCUAGUUGGUGGGGUAAGGGCCUACCAAGGCGACGAUGCGUAGCCGACCUGAGAGGGUGAUCGGCCACACUGGGACUGAGACACGGCCCAGACUCCUACGGGAGGCAGCAGUAGGGAAUCUUCCGCAAUGGACGCAAGUCUGACGGAGCAACGCCGCGUGAGUGAAGAAGGGUUUCGGCUCGUAAAACUCUGUUGUUAAGGAAGAAUGACAGGUAGAGUAACUGCUAUCUGUGUGACGGUACU
Molecule: ribosomal RNA, 471 nt
Filed under: uncultured bacterium
Lineage: Bacteria
Description: bacterial SSU rRNA
Rfam family: Bacterial small subunit ribosomal RNA
Source: RNAcentral